Molecule: unclassified non-coding RNA, 188 nt
Filed under: rhizosphere metagenome
Description: partial ribosomal RNA internal transcribed spacer region
Source: RNAcentral
GUAGGUGAACCUGCGGAAGGAUCAUUACCAAAUCCAAAAUCAACCCCUGUGAACUUGUAUUGUCUGUCUUUGGGGGGAAGGCCCUGUGUUUUCCCCCCAUAUUAAUUGAACAACUUUGAUCUUUUGUUGGAAUAUCUUUUAUUAAUUUUAAUAAAUGACAACUUUUAACGGUGGAUCUCUUGGCUCGU